Long non-coding RNA from Hibiscus syriacus, 425 nucleotides. RefSeq lists it as uncharacterized. Lineage: Eukaryota; Viridiplantae; Streptophyta; Magnoliopsida; Malvales; Malvaceae. The transcript has 3 exons. The record is from RefSeq and is a predicted model, not a curated record.
AUGCUCUGUAUUGCCACCCAACUCUCUCGCCCUCCUAUUCGUUUAUCUGUCUCCAUUCUUUUCAUUUCUUUCUUAAAAGGAAAAGACCCUUAUUUUCUCUUUAUUUUUGCUCUCCUUGAUCCUGGGCUCCCUGCUAAAAGGUUACCUUCACAAUGAAUUUUCCCUUCAGCAGCACACACGAGGAUUCUGCAACUUCUCAGAUGGAAAUCCUCAGUUGUCCAUUUUUUAGAAACAUUAAUGAGCCGACUAACUUUUCUUUCUCGUCGUCCAUGCCUUUUCCCAUGCCGGUACGAGGAGCCAAAGGUCCAAUUUUCGAAGAUGGACCCAAUUUCAUGGCAUUCAGGAUUUUCCAUGGACAGGACGGAGUAGUUCCUCUGUCACAACGAUCAUCCUUGCAUGCUAAGAAAGAAGAGCCGGAAACAGCC